Molecule: ribosomal RNA, 492 nt
Filed under: uncultured bacterium
Lineage: Bacteria
Description: partial 16S ribosomal RNA
Rfam family: Bacterial small subunit ribosomal RNA
Source: RNAcentral
AGUGAACGCUGGCGGUAGGCCUAACACAUGCAAGUCGAACGGCAGCACAGUAAGAGCUUGCUCUUACGGGUGGCGAGUGGCGGACGGGUGAGGAAUACAUCGGAAUCUACUUUUUCGUGGGGGAUAACGUAGGGAAACUUACGCUAAUACCGCAUACGACCUACGGGUGAAAGCAGGGGAUCUUCGGACCUUGCGCGAUUGAAUGAGCCGAUGUCGGAUUAGCUAGUUGGCUGGGUAAAGGCCCACCAAGGCGACGAUCCGUAGCUGGUCUGAGAGGAUGAUCAGCCACACUGGAACUGAGACACGGUCCAGACUCCUACGGGAGGCAGCAGUGGGGAGUAUUGGACAAUGGGCGCAAGCCUGAUCCAGCCAUACCGCGUGGGUGAAGAAGGCCUUCGGGUUGUAAAGCCCUUUUGUUGGGAAAGAAAAGCAGCAGGUUAAUACCCCGCUGUUCUGACGGUACCCAAAGAAUAAGCACCGGCUAACUUCGUG